This 102-nucleotide small nucleolar RNA is filed under the name Nomascus leucogenys (northern white-cheeked gibbon). RNAcentral's name for it is "Small nucleolar RNA U3". The stretch from base 1 to 80 matches the Rfam family "Small nucleolar RNA U3". From Rfam's summary of the family: Small nucleolar RNAs (snoRNAs) are involved in the processing and modification of rRNA in the nucleolus. There are two main classes of snoRNAs: the box C/D class, and the box H/ACA class. U3 snoRNA is a member of the box C/D class. The record is from Rfam by way of RNAcentral. Lineage: Eukaryota; Metazoa; Chordata; Mammalia; Primates; Hylobatidae.
AAGACUCUACUUUCAGCGAUCAUUUCUAUAGUUCAUUACCAGAGAAGUUUCUCUGAAUGUGUAGAGCACAAAAAGUAAAUAAGGCCAUGCCUAGACAUGUUA